UUUUCGGAUCGUAAAGCUCUGUUGUUAGGGAAGAACAAGUACCGUUCGAAUAGGGCGGUACCUUGACGGUACCUAACCAGAAAGCCACGGCUAACUACGUGCCAGCAGCCGCGGUAAUACGUAGGUGGCAAGCGUUGUCCGGAAUUAUUGGGCGUAAAGGGCUCGCAGGCGGUUUCUUAAGUCUGAUGUGAAAGCCCCCGGCUCAACCGGGGAGGGUCAUUGGAAACUGGGGAACUUGAGUGCAGAAGAGGAGAGUGGAAUUCCACGUGUAGCGGUGAAAUGCGUAGAGAUGUGGAGGAACACCAGUGGCGAAGGCGACUCUCUGGUCUGUAACUGACGCUGAGGAGCGAAAGCGUGGGGAGCGAACAGGAUUAGAUACCCUGGUAGUCCACGCCGUAAACGAUGAGUGCUAAGUGUUAGGGGGUUUCCGCCCCUUAGUGCUGCAGCUAACGCAUUAAGCACUCCGCCUGGGGAGUACGGUCGCAAGACU
Molecule: ribosomal RNA, 490 nt
Filed under: Bacillus sp. (in: firmicutes)
Lineage: Bacteria; Bacillati; Bacillota; Bacilli; Caryophanales; Bacillaceae
Description: bacterial SSU rRNA
Rfam family: Bacterial small subunit ribosomal RNA
Source: RNAcentral